UCAUAUGCUUGUCUCAAAGAUUAAGCCAUGCAUGUGUAAGUACAAGCCGAGUUAAGGCGAAACCGCGAAUGGCUCAUUAAAUCAGCUAUGUUUCAUUGGAUCUGUAAACCCACUUUGGAGCCUGAGAAACGGCUACCACAUCUAAGGAAGGCAGCAGGCACGCAAAUUACCCACUCCCGGCUCGGGGAGGUAGUGACGAAAAAUAACGAUGCGAGACUCAUCCGAGGCCUCGCAAUCGGAAUGAGUACACUUUAAAUCCUUUAACGAGGACGCAUUGGAGGGCAAGUCUGGUGCCAGCAGCAGCAGCGGUAAUUCCAGCUCCAAUAGCGUAUACUAAAGUUGCUGCGAUUAAAAAGCUCGUAGUUGGACCUGAGUUCCGGACUGACGGUUUCUGUUCACCGCCAGGUGAAUUGCUGUCACGCUCUGGACAGGUCGAUUGAUUGGUUUUGGCGCAGCCGGCUUGCACGGGGUGCUCUUCACCGAGUGUCCCGAGUGGCCGGCACUUGGUAUUUGGAACCUGAGGUAAUAAUGACUAAUCGGGACGGACGGGGGCAUUCGUAUUGCGACGCUAGA
RNAcentral lists this ribosomal RNA (573 nucleotides) under Euastacus neohirsutus. RNAcentral's name for it is "bacterial SSU rRNA". It matches the Rfam family "Eukaryotic small subunit ribosomal RNA", at positions 24 to 909 of the family's 1831-position model. The record is from RNAcentral. Lineage: Eukaryota; Metazoa; Arthropoda; Malacostraca; Decapoda; Parastacidae.